AUACUUACCUGGCAGGGGAGUGUUAGCUAUGAUCACUAAGGUGGCUCUUCCAAGGCGAGGCUGGUUCAUUGCACUCCGAGCCAGCUAACCUCUGCGAUUUCCCCACAUGUGGGAAACUCAACUGCACAAUUUAUGGUAGUGGGGGCUGCAUGAACGCUUUCCCCUG
Molecule: small nuclear RNA, 166 nt
Organism: Bombina bombina (fire-bellied toad)
Lineage: Eukaryota; Metazoa; Chordata; Amphibia; Anura; Bombinatoridae
Product: U1 spliceosomal RNA
Exons: 1
Source: RefSeq, a predicted model, not a curated record